UGAGGAAUAUUGCGCAAUGGGGGCAACCCUGACGCAGCGACGCCGCGUGAGUGAGGAAGGCCUUCGGGUCGUAAAGCUCUGUCAAAGGGAAAGAAAUGUAUAAUGGCUAAUACCUGUUAUAUUUGACGGUACCCUUAAAGGAAGCACCGGCUAACUCCGUGCCAGCAGCCGCGGUAAUACGGAGGGUGCAAGCGUUGUUCGGAAUCACUGGGCGUAAAGGGCGCGCAGGCGGUUUGGUAAGUCAGAUGUGAAAGCCCACGGCUUAACCGUGGAAGUGCAUUUGAAACUGCCAGACUUGAGUAUCAGAGGGGAAAGUGGAAUUCCCGGUGUAGAGGUGAAAUUCGUAGAUAUCGGGAGGAAUACCGGUGGCGAAGGCGACUUUCUGGCUGAAUACUGACGC
Molecule: ribosomal RNA, 400 nt
Filed under: uncultured bacterium
Lineage: Bacteria
Description: bacterial SSU rRNA
Rfam family: Bacterial small subunit ribosomal RNA
Source: RNAcentral